RNAcentral lists this ribosomal RNA (440 nucleotides) under uncultured bacterium. RNAcentral describes it as "partial 16S ribosomal RNA". It matches the Rfam family "Bacterial small subunit ribosomal RNA", at positions 338 to 795 of the family's 1533-position model. The record is from RNAcentral.
CCUACGGGAGGCAGCAGUGGGGAAUAUUGGACAAUGGGGGAAACCCUGAUCCAGCGACGCCGCGUGAGUGAAGAAGUCUUUCUGUACGUAAAGCUCUAUCAGCCGGAAAGCAAAUGACGGUCCCUGAGUACUAAGCCCCGGCGAACUACGUGCCAGCAGCCGCGGUCAUACGUAGGGGGCAAGCGUUAUCCGGAUUUACUGGGUGUAACGGGAUCGUAGACGGUGCGCCAAGUCUGGAGGGAAAUGCCGCGGCUUAACUGCGGAACUGCUUUGCAAACUGGCGAACUAGAGUGCGGGAGGGGUAAGCGGAAGUCCUAGUGUAGCGGUGAAAUGCGUAGAUAUUAGGAGGAACACCGGUGGCGAAGGCGGCAUACUGGACCGUAACUGACGUUGAGGCUCGAAAGCGUGGGGAGCAAACAGGAUUAGAUACCCUUGUAGUC